RNAcentral lists this ribosomal RNA (492 nucleotides) under uncultured bacterium. RNAcentral describes it as "bacterial SSU rRNA". It matches the Rfam family "Bacterial small subunit ribosomal RNA", at positions 35 to 524 of the family's 1533-position model. The record is from RNAcentral.
GCUGGCGGCGGCCUACACAUGCAAGUCGAGCGGUUGACGGGAGCUUGCUCCCUGAUUCAGCGGCGGACGGGUGAGUAAUGCCUAGGAAUCUGCCUAUUAGUGGGGGACAACGUUUCGAAAGGAACGCUAAUACCGCAUACGUCCUACGGGAGAAAGCAGGGGACCUUCGGGCCUUGCGCUAAUAGAUGAGCCUAGGUCGGAUUAGCUAGUUGGUGGGGUAAUGGCUCACCAAGGCGACGAUCCGUAACUGGUCUGAGAGGAUGAUCAGUCACACUGGAACUGAGACACGGUCCAGACUCCUACGGGAGGCAGCAGUGGGGAAUAUUGGACAAUGGGCGAAAGCCUGAUCCAGCCAUGCCGCGUGUGUGAAGAAGGUCUUCGGAUUGUAAAGCACUUUAAGUUGGGAGGAAGGGCAGUAAAUUAAUACUUUGCUGUUUUGACGUUACCGACAGAAUAAGCACCGGCUAACUCUGUGCCAGCAGCCGCGGUAAU